RNAcentral lists this transfer RNA (68 nucleotides) under Balneolaceae bacterium. RNAcentral's name for it is "tRNA-OTHER". The record is from RNAcentral. Lineage: Bacteria; Pseudomonadati; Balneolota; Balneolia; Balneolales; Balneolaceae.
ACUAUCUGAAACCAUACUUAACCUGACUACGAAUCAGGCGGUUAGAAGUUCGAAUCUUCUCGGGUGUA